This 382-nucleotide ribosomal RNA is filed under the name Serratovola pallula. RNAcentral's name for it is "partial 12S ribosomal RNA". It matches the Rfam family "Bacterial small subunit ribosomal RNA", at positions 876 to 1496 of the family's 1533-position model. Lineage: Eukaryota; Metazoa; Mollusca; Bivalvia; Pectinida; Pectinidae. The record is from RNAcentral.
GGGACUACGAGCGUGUGCUUAAAACUCAAAGAACUUGGCGGCUUGUUAACUACCUAGGGGAAUAUGCGCCUUUAUCCGAUGUUACGCGAAUAUCUUACUAGACUUAGAAUAGCAGUUGGUGUAUUGCCGUUGUCAGCUUGUUGUUGAGCAAAGAGAAACAGGCUAAAGGGAGUGUUAUCCAUGAAUUCAGGUCGAAAUGCCGCCUAUAGUCUAGGGAGCGGGUAUUACAAUUGAAACUUUCAAUACGGAUUGGUGUUGGAAAAUCACCAUGAAGGUGAACUUAGGAGUAAAGAGAAAUUAAUAUGUUUUCUUGAACGUGAAUCUAGCUUGUGUACAAACUGCCCGUCGCUCUCGGUGAGAAUUGAGAUAAGUCGUAACAGGG